AUGCAUGCCUUUAUUAUUCGACUAUAUGUGGUUAUGGGCAGUGUAAAACUGUCCUCGUGGUCGGCAAGUACAUUUACAUACAACGAGAGUCUAUUACAUUUCUCGCUUCUUCAACUUAACAAUGAGCCCAUUUUUCAUCUCCAGUAUAAUGGACGUCUUAGGCUGGAUGCUUUGCCCUUCCACCACCUUCACAUCGAAGUUCCACACAGCUGUAGCAAUGACAGUCUUCAUUUGCAUAAGUGCAAUGUCCUUACCGAGGCACAUCCUCGGGCCAGAGUUGAAGGCCAAGAACUUGUGAGAUGGUAUGUAUUUCAGGUUGUUGCCAUCAUCUGA
Molecule: ribosomal RNA, 333 nt
Filed under: Triticum aestivum (bread wheat)
Lineage: Eukaryota; Viridiplantae; Streptophyta; Magnoliopsida; Poales; Poaceae
Description: partial small subunit ribosomal RNA
Source: RNAcentral